This 454-nucleotide ribosomal RNA is filed under the name uncultured bacterium. Its description in RNAcentral is "bacterial SSU rRNA". It matches the Rfam family "Bacterial small subunit ribosomal RNA", at positions 340 to 786 of the family's 1533-position model. The record is from RNAcentral.
UACGGAAGGCAGCAGUGGGGAAUAUUGCACAAUGGGCGCAAGCCUGAUGCAGCCAUGCCGCGUGUAUGAAAAAGGCCUUCGGGUUGUAAAGUACUUUCAGUCGUGAGGAAGGUGUUAAGGUUAAUAACCUUAGCAAUUGACGUUAGCGACAGAAGAAGCACCGGCUAACUCCGUGCCAGCAGCCGCGGUAAUAUGGAGGGUGCGAGCGUUAAUCGGAAUUACUGGGCGUAAAGGGCACGCAGGCGGUUAAUUAAGUUGGAUGUGAAAUCCCCGGGCUUAACCUGGGAAUGGCAUUCAAGACUGGUUAGCUAGAGUCUUGUAGAGGGGGUAGAAUUCCAUGUGUAGCGGUGAAAUGCGUAGAGAUGUGGAGGAAUACCGGUGGCGAAGGCGGCCCCUGGGACAAAGACUGACGCUCAUGUGCGAAAGCGUGGGGAGCAAACAGGGAUUAGAUACC